GUACCCUCCUCUGGCCUCAGUUUACCCCUCUGCCACUCUUUUCCUCCCCUCCUCCUCCUCUGUCGCUCCAGGGUGCCUGGGCUCUCAGGCUCCCGCCUGCCUUCCUCCGUGUUGCUCUGGGAACAUGGUGUCCCUUCACCAUCACACCCAGCCCUGGACUCAGGUUGAGAGGACCUCAUAGGUCCGCAAGGCAUCUGACCUCAAGCAUUGCCCCUGCCUCCCCUUGGCGUCCGGUGGGGGCCGGCGCAGUCCCAUCUGGGGAAAACCCACCCACCCCGUGCAAACCGCCGUAAAUGGAGGAAUCGUCCCUGCCUGGCCCUCGAUAAAGCUGCAAAGAAACCCAAAGCAAAACAGCCCAACCCAAGCAAGCAAAGUUGUUCUGAAUGCUCUUAUUCUGUGGACGUGUUUUUUGGGACAGCCUCUCAAAGGUGUUUUUCUUUGCCGGAGCCACUUUUGGACCGAGAACCACCCCAUACGCACUCUGUCCCCUGUUGAUCUGCUGAGGAGCCUUCAACCUGGCUUGUGAGUUCAAAGCCCCUCCUGGUCAGAGCGGAGAGAGGGCACAGCCAGGCAGGUGGAUCUCUCUGAGGGUCAGAUAAAGGACGAAUGGUUCCAGGCUGGCGUCCUAAAGAUAUUUGCCUGCACAGGGCCCUGAUGGCUGCAGGGAGGGCGGCACAGCACCAGAUGCCUGGGGCAGGUGCGGACAUGCUCCUCAGGGCUCAGAGACAUCCGGCUCCCAGCAUCUUCCAGCAGAGUCCUGGCCCACUACCGAGCUGCCGCGUGCCUGUCACCCUGCCGUGGAGGGGAGAGAGAAACAGCCAGAGGAACAGACAAAAAGUGGAGACAAGAAAGACAGAAAGAGAAGGAACACACUCUCAACAGCUCAAGGUGAGCUAUGUUGGGAAGUGGUCCGAGCGUGGCCUCUCAGAACCCACCUGCUGUCCCUGGCCAGCUGAAUGACCCCUUGGAGGGACUCCUUGCUCUGAACCUUCAUCUCGUCCGCAGCCUGAGGAUGGAGGGACGCUGCAGAGCACUAUGGGAAAGUGUGUGUGGGCUCCUCCUCACCAGGUCUGGGUUCCUCCAAAGAUAAUCUUCUAGUAGGUGGGUCCCAGGCUGCCCUGGGAGACCACCCCCAAAAUAUUGGGGAGUGGAGACCAGGAGUUGCUUGCCCUGAACGUGUUUGUUCUUUCUUACUAAUGAAACUCCCAAUUUUUCACCGGGUUCGUGACCUUCCAAAAUAAAGACUCUCUUUCUCAACCUCCCUUGUAGCUAGAUGUAGCCGGGUGACUAAGUUUUGGUCACUGAGAUGUAAGCAGAGAACAGUUGCAAGGAAACCUGUUUGAAACACAGCUGGUAGGUACCCCUGUGCCUCUUCUUCCUCCUUGCUUGCUUCUGGCUGGCCGCAAGGUGAACAUGAUGGCCGGUGCUCAAGCAGCCAUAUUGGGCCAUGAGGAAAAGGUUGUAUACCGAAAGUGGACUGCCUCCCCCUGGACUUCUGUUAUGGCAGUGAGAAAGAACCAUCAAUCUUGUUGAAGCCACUGUUAUUUGACUUCUUUCUCCAUCAGUCUUCAUCCUGAUGGAUAAAAUAAGGAACAGGUAAUUUCUCUGAUCUGGUUUCCCUUCUAGAAUAAGGGAAACUGAGCUGCUCCGAGUUGGCAGAAACAUGGGGGCAUCAAUUCCCUUGCAGUGGUUAGUCUAGCAGAAGAAUACUGUCAACAACAGUGAUACUACUGUCAUAAUAAUAACGGCAAUAACAGCAGUAUUCUUUAUUGAGCGCUGACUGUGACCCAAAGCUGUCCAGCUUGCAAGAGGCAGGGCCCCGACCCAGACCCACAUGGUGUCAGGCUCAUGCCAAGACCUUCAGGUUUUUCUUCUUGGCAUUCCAGGCCCUUCAAAUGUUGCAGGGUGUCUCCCCCCUCUGCUGCCUGUUGGAAUGUCGCCUCGUGCCACAGCCGCCUCUUCCAGGAGGUGCAGGAAUGCUCUCCUUGAGUCAUGCUACCCACAGACUCCUUUGUCUGGCUCCCCGUGGGUCUGAGAUGUUGGCUUCUCUGCCCAGCCAGGCCUCGGUCCCCCGCCUUCUGGUUUAGCGCUGAGCCCUCUUGUUCACAUCCGCUUCUGGCCCGGAGCCUGGCACAUGGUGUGUGCCCAGGGGAGGUCUGAUAAUGAAUCGAGGAUCCCACACCCAGCCGGUGGGGGACAAGGCGUGACACACUGUGGAUCUCUUGUCCACAGCUCUGACCACAUGUUUUCAAGCGUCUGGAUCAACGAGCGUCUACAGUUCUCAGGGAGAGGGGCCGAGGGCUGGAGAAGAUGGGAGGGGACACAGGGAGCUGCGGAGUGGGGUGUGCAGGUGCCAGACAGAGGGCAAGCCCUGGGCUUCUGUGGCACCCCCUCCCCUCAGCAGAGAAGCCCCCGGCAGAUAGAGAGCAAGGCAAGUGACAGAUUCCCUGCACCGUCGCCCCGGCAGACAGGAAAAGCCACCCCCCUGGCUGGAGAUGGGGACAUGGUGGCGGGGGGGGGGGGGGCAAGAGGGUUCUCCCCAUACAGACCGAGGUGGCAUCUGUGUGGAUUUCUGAGAGACCUGUGUCCGUUUGAUGCCCGUAGGACAUGGAGGUCAAGCCUCUGAACUUGGCACAAUCCUGGCCCAUGACCUUGGGCACCUGGCCUCUCUGUGAGCCUCGGCUUCCUCAUCGGCGAGACAACGUGGCACCUCCUAUGGGAAAGAGAGUGAGCCACCAUAUGCACAGGCCGGCCCGUCUCAGGCUCCCCUGCGCAACCCCCCCCCGCCCCGCACACCCACUGCAGGGGACUGUGUUAAAGGCUCUGACACAGGGGGUCUAGGGAGGCGCCUGAGAUUCUGCGUUUCUAACAGGCUCCCCGGGCUCACUGAUGUCGCGGGUCCGUGGGCUUCACCUUGAGUAGCCAGGCGGCUGAGACACGGGGGGGUUUGCAAACCACAGCUCGUGGGCCGAAUCCCACCCACGGCCCACGUCUGUCCAUAAAGUUCCUUGGAGCACAGCCACAUGUUUAUUUACGUGUUGUCCAGGGCUGCGACGGAGACCUGCUGGCCACCAGAGCUGCAAACAGGUCCUCUCUGGCCCCUUACGGCAGGACUUUGCCGACCCCAAAUGUGAUGCUGAAAGAUUGAAGAGAAGGAAUGGAUGGAAGGCCUCUGAGCCCAGAAGAAGUGGCGGGUCCACCGUACGGAUUGUUCUGGCGGCUGAGCUGGCCGGAGCGGGCGUCUCAUCCUCACCCAGGAAGGUCCCGGCUAAAACUGAGCGAGGGGGAUGAUGUCCAGGCCGGGCACAAAACCUCAGGAAGAGGAGGAAGCGAACAGACAAAGUCACAGGGGAAAAUCCUUCACGGCCAGCC
Molecule: long non-coding RNA, 3372 nt
Organism: Acinonyx jubatus (cheetah)
Lineage: Eukaryota; Metazoa; Chordata; Mammalia; Carnivora; Felidae
Exons: 3
Source: RefSeq, a predicted model, not a curated record